AUGGUCCUGGAGAAGGGAUGGCAUGCAGAAGGAAUGAACAUACAGCGGCGUGUUGCGAGGUUCCAGCAGGAGGGGUUCUCCCUACAUCUCAGUAAAGACUUUAGAUGAGAUGGACAGACAAGAGAUUUUCAAGUAUUGACUGAGGGGAAGCAACGUGCUUGAAUCCAGGAAAUCAGAAAGCUAUCUCCAAUACUUAAUAUUAGUUAAUAUUUUGAACUCCUGGUCUUAACCUGGGCUGUGGUGCUUCACUAAGUUGAUGAAGUGUGAUUGUGUUUUUAAUAAGCUUUAUUGCUUUUUUUUUCCACGCAGAACAUGUACAGAUAGUCGAUUAAUUUUUGGUUGAACUAUUACAAAAAUAUUUAGAAAUGUAUAUAAAGAAGAAAAUUUAUAUUGCCCUUAAUCUCACUAUCCACAGGUAAUGAAUGUUAACAUUUUUUUAAAUGUUAACAUUUUGAUGUUUGUCUGUCCAAACUUGGAUCUGUAAAUGUGCAUGUAUACUCGUACAUACCCAUGUAUCCCCCAAUACAUGUUUUUGCAAAAAUGGA
This is a long non-coding RNA of Eptesicus fuscus (big brown bat), 545 nucleotides long. RefSeq lists it as uncharacterized. The transcript is spliced from 2 exons. The record is from RefSeq and is a predicted model, not a curated record. Lineage: Eukaryota; Metazoa; Chordata; Mammalia; Chiroptera; Vespertilionidae.